RNAcentral lists this unclassified non-coding RNA (333 nucleotides) under Hevea brasiliensis (rubber tree). The record is from RNAcentral. Lineage: Eukaryota; Viridiplantae; Streptophyta; Magnoliopsida; Malpighiales; Euphorbiaceae.
AAAUUUGCACAGACCCAUUUAACAUUAAAUAUAUAUCACCCAUCUAAUAAAAUAUUAAAUUUGAACCUACGCUCUUUCAGUCUCCCAUAAGAAUAAAAGUCGUAUACCCUCAAAGUGAUUAGAACAACUGAGAAGAAAAAAGCAUUUGGCGUAAUUUCAAUUCUCAUAGGCAGUUGGUUCCUUUGUUAUCUUCUAAUAAUACAACACAUUUAAGUUAGAAGCAUAACGUCUACUAUUAUUUAUUUUUGGAAUUCAAAAUUGGUACAGAUUACAAUUCUAUUGCAGCAAUCUGAGACACAAGGGAAAACUCUUCUCCUUAUUCACAAGAUGCAA